This 371-nucleotide ribosomal RNA is filed under the name uncultured Glomeromycotina. RNAcentral describes it as "eukaryotic LSU rRNA". The record is from RNAcentral. Lineage: Eukaryota; Fungi; Glomeromycota.
AAACGAUUGAAGUCAGUCGUACCGGCGGAUAAUCAGCCUUUCGAGUAUGAUUUUGUGGAGUGUGAGGAGUUUAACUGCCUUCAUACCUGCAUAUUCGUGCGCUUUGGGUGUACUUGUCCGUACGGUAGGUUAACAUCAAUUUUUGGCCGUUAUAAAAUGGCUAGAGGAAUGUAGCUUCGGUCUCGUACUGAAGUGUUAUAGCCUUUGGCAGAUGUGGUGAUCGGGACUGAGGAUUGCAACGGAUACCUUUUGGGCUACCCGCCUGAUCUCUGAAAGUUGCUCUGGUGCCGAAAGCUUGCUUACGGUUAUCAAAGUUGACGUUCAAAAGGUUAAAACGGGUUAAAUUCGUUAAGGAUGUUGACGUAAAGGGC